This 409-nucleotide ribosomal RNA is filed under the name uncultured microorganism. RNAcentral describes it as "bacterial SSU rRNA". It matches the Rfam family "Archaeal small subunit ribosomal RNA", at positions 330 to 741 of the family's 1478-position model. The record is from RNAcentral.
GUGCACCAGGCGCGAAACCUCCGCAAUGCGGGAAACCGCGACGGGGGACCCCGAGUGCCGUGGCAACGCCACGGCUUUUCCGGAGUGUAAAAAGCUCCGGGAAUAAGGGCUGGGCAAGGCCGGUGGCAGCCGCCGCGGUAAUACCGGCGGCCCGAGUGGUGGCCGGCUAUUAUUGGGCCUAAAGCGUCCGUAGCCGGGCCCGUAAGUCCCUGGCGAAAAUCCCACGGCUCAACCGUGGGGCUUGCUGGGGAUACUGCGGGUCUUGGGACCGGGAGAGGCGGGGGGUACCCCUGGGGUAGGGGUGAAAUCCUAUAAUCCCAGGGGACCGCCAGUGGCGAAGGCGCCCCGCUGGAACGGGUCCGACGGUGAGGGACGAAGGCCAGGGAGCAAACCGGAUUAGAUACCCCUG